Molecule: ribosomal RNA, 253 nt
Filed under: uncultured bacterium
Lineage: Bacteria
Description: partial 16S ribosomal RNA
Rfam family: Bacterial small subunit ribosomal RNA
Source: RNAcentral
UACAGAGGGUGCAAGCGUUGUUCGGAAUUAUUGGGCGUAAAGGGCGCGUAGGCGGUGCGGUAAGUCUGUAGUGAAAUCUCUGGGCUCAACUCAGAGUCUGCUGCAGAAACUGCCGUGCUUGAGUGUGGGAGAGGUGAGUGGAAUUCCCGGUGUAGCGGUGAAAUGCGUUGAGAUCGGAAGGAACGCCCGUGGCGAAAGCGAGGUCCUGGACGCCUACUGACGCUGAGACGCGAAAGCCAGGGGAGCGAACGGG